AUUGAACGCUGGCGGAAUGCUUUACACAUGCAAGUCGAACGGUAGAGGGGGCAACCCCUUGAGAGUGGCGAACGGGUGAGUAAUAUAUCGGAACGUGCCCAGUCGUGGGGAUAACGUAGCGAAAGCUACGCUAAUACCGCAUACGAUCUAUGGAUGAAAGCGGGGGAUCGCAAGACCUCGCGCGAUUGGAGCGGCCGAUAUCAGAUUAGGUAGUUGGUGAGGUAAAGGCUCACCAAGCCGACGAUCUGUAGCUGGUCUGAGAGGACGACCAGCCACACUGGGACUGAGACACGGCCCAGACUCCUACGGGAGGCAGCAGUGGGGAAUUUUGGACAAUGGGCGCAAGCCUGAUCCAGCAAUGCCGCGUGAGUGAUGAAGGCCUUAGGGUUGUAAAGCUCUUUUACCCGGGAUGAUAAUGACAGUACCGGGAGAAUAAGCUCCGGCUAACUCCGUGCCAGCAGCCGCGGUAAUGUGACUAC
RNAcentral lists this ribosomal RNA (479 nucleotides) under uncultured bacterium. RNAcentral describes it as "bacterial SSU rRNA". It matches the Rfam family "Bacterial small subunit ribosomal RNA", at positions 30 to 530 of the family's 1533-position model. The record is from RNAcentral.